Molecule: ribosomal RNA, 493 nt
Filed under: uncultured bacterium
Lineage: Bacteria
Description: bacterial SSU rRNA
Rfam family: Bacterial small subunit ribosomal RNA
Source: RNAcentral
GGCUCAGAUUGAACGCUGGCGGCAGGCCUAACACAUGCAAGUCGAGCGGUAGAGAGGUGCUUGCAUCUCUUGAGAGCGGGCGGACGGGUGAGUAAUGCCUAGGAAUCUGCCUAGUGGUGGGGGAUAACGUUCGGAAACGGACGCUAAUACCGCAUACGUCCUACGGGAGAAAGCGGGGGGAUCUUCGGACCUCGCGCCAUUAGAUGAGCCUAGGUCGGAUUAGCUAGUUGGUGAGGUAAUGGCUCACCAAGGCGACGAUCCGUAACUGGUCUGAGAGGAUGAUCAGUCACACUGGAACUGAGACACGGUCCAGACUCCUACGGGAGGCAGCAGUGGGGAAUAUUGGACAAUGGGCGAAAGCCUGAUCCAGCCAUGCCGCGUGUGUGAAGAAGGUCUUCGGAUUGUAAAGCACUUUAAGUUGGGAGGAAGGGUAGUAACCUAAUACGUUGCUACUUUGACGUUACCGACAGAAUAAGCACCGGCUAACUUCGUG